This 733-nucleotide ribosomal RNA is filed under the name uncultured bacterium. Its description in RNAcentral is "bacterial SSU rRNA". It matches the Rfam family "Bacterial small subunit ribosomal RNA", at positions 94 to 820 of the family's 1533-position model. The record is from RNAcentral.
AGUGGCGAACGGGGUAGUAAUGCGUAGGUGACGUGCCCUGUGGUCGGGGAUAGCUUAGGGAAACUUAAGGUAAUACUCGAUGAUCCCGGAAUGUUUGAAGACGAUCCGGGCAAAGGUGUGAUUCCAUCACAGGAGCGGCUUGCGUGGUAUUAGCUAGUUGGUGAGGUAACGGCUCACCAAGGCUGCGAUGCCUAGGGGAUGUUAGCGCAUGAUCCCCACCACUGGGACUGAGAUACUGCCCAGACACCUACGGGUGGCUGCAGUCGAGAAUCUUCGGCAAUGGGCGAAAGCCUGACCGAGCGACGCCGCGUGUGGGAUGAAGGCCCUUGGGUUGUAAACCACUGUCAGAGGGGAUGAAAUGCAUGGGAGCAAUCUCCUGUGUUUGACAUAGCCUCAGAGGAAGCACGGGCUAAGUUCGUGCCAGCAGCCGCGGUAAGACGAACUGUGCAAACGUUAUUCGGAAUCACUGGGCUUAAAGGGUGCGUAGGCGGUCUCAUAAGUAGGGUGUGAAAGCCCCCGACUCAACCGGGGAACUGCGUCCUAAACUGCGAGGCUUGAGUGAGGUAGGGGUGUGUGGAACUUCCAGUGGAGCGGUGAAAUGUGUUGAUAUUGGAAGGAACGCCGGUGGCGAAAGCGACACACUGGACCUUGUCUGACGCUGAGGCACGAAAGCCAGGGGAGCAAACGGGAUUAGAUACCCCGGUAGUCCUGGCCGUAAACGCUGAGUACUANU